UGGGUGGCCCAAAGGGCAGUUGCUUCCAUCAGAGCCCGGCAGUCGGUGGACGGCGGAUGCAGCGUCCCCCCAAACCGCCUCCAAAGACUCUGCUGGGCCACGAGAACUUUUUAAGAGGAAAAAGGGACGCGACCUCGGGGGACCACGGAGACAGGGGUCAGGGUCCGGCCAUCCCCACCAGGCUGGUCACUCCUCGUGCUCUUGCUUCAGAUGCUGUCUGUUCACGCAGUUGUUCGGAGCUUCUCGAAGGGGAGGCGGGGCAGGGACCGUCCUUAAUUACGAAUAUGCUUCGUUUCCACUUUGAGUCACACUAGGAACCAGCAGGCCAGGCAAGGUCUUGCGUGAUCAAAAGAUUUGAAAGCCCUGCCAGGACCAGAGACGGGUGGAGCCUUGGGGCGCCUGGUGUAAGGUUAGUGACCGGACCAAAGCCCUCCUGGAGAGAGCCCUUUCCUGCCAAAGGCUGCCCACACGUGUGUAUAUGGGUGUGUGUGUGUGUGUGUGUGUGUGUGGGGAAGCCCUCUCCAGGGGAGGGCUCAGAGGCAGGUCCCCCCUCAGGCCCCCCACUGCUCUGGUGGGCAGAGUUGGGCAUUGGGGACCUGGGUCCUCGGCUGAUUGUGCCUCUUCCUCAGGGUGGGGGGUGCAAAGCAGGUGCCCAGACUCCCCCCACCCCUCCUGCUACGUGCUCACUGUCCAGAGAGGAGGUGGCCUCCAGAGGCUUCGUGGGGAGGGGUCUCGUGACCUCCCUCUGUCUACGUUUCACUCAGUCCUGCCAGUGCCACCCCUGUGAGCUGCCCCAGCUGCCCCGGGAGCAGGCGUGCCCAGGGAGAGGGGGGCUUCUGGGUGGGCAACCAGCCCUGCUUGCCCUACGUGUGCCUGAGAUGCUCCUGUCCACACCCGCCACCUCCCUCGUAUCGGUGGUCCUAGAAACACCCAGCAGGGGCCUGAUCUGGAAAAGCCAGACCCUCAUCUGGUGUCAGGUGCUACCAAGGACACCUGUGUGACGCACGCGCGCCACCCGCGUGCCUGAGGAGUGGCGCUCCAACCUGGGGAGUGCGUGCCUGGUUUUGGGACGGGUCCGUCUAGUUCUGUGGGAAUGGACAGUUCUGUAUUUGGUGGCUGGUUAGACACAAGGUUGGUGGCAGAACCCAGCUCCUCUGAGACACAUAACUGAGAACCAGAAACGUAACAGAGAAAAGCGCUGACCACGGUACCACGUCAGCGAUGGCCGUUCCUAGUCUUGAAAUGACAGAGCUACGAUCUUUGGAAUCGCUGAAACAAACUCUUUUUUUUUUUUUUUUUUUUUUUUUUUUUGUCUUUUUGCCAUUUCUUGGGCCGCUCCCGCGGCAUAUGGAGAUUCCCAGGCUAGGGGUCCAGUUGGAGCUGUAGCCGCCGGCCUACGCCAGAGCCACAGCAACAUCAGAUCUGAGCCGCGUCUGCAACCUCCACCACAGCUCACGGCCACACCGGAUCCUUAACCCACUGAGCAAGGCCAGGGUUCGAACCCGCAACCUCAUGGUUCCUAGUCGGAUUUUUUAACCACUGAGCCACGACGGGAACUCCAACAAACUCUUGAUAUUUGGUAAAACUACUUGCCCCUUGUGACGAAUAGUUUCGGAACUCAGCUUUCAGGUCAGGAGCCUUUUGCCAGCCUGCUUUCUGUCCCCAGAGCAAGGACAGGUGUUGAACCCGAGAUUUUGAUUCCCACAAAUCGUAUCGGAGCCGUUUACUGGCGGUCUCACUCAGCAUGUCUGAGACGCCGCCCAGGACUUCCUCUGUAGCGUUAAGGAAGAAUCAGCAAUACGGGGACGAGGUCGCAUUUCCACAAACCCACGUGCCUGGCCAGCGGGUACCGGUGACCAGGUCUCCAGGCCUGAGCGCCUGUGUCCGUGGACAUUGCUGUUGUCUUGGAGGUGACUGAUGCGGGGGCGGGGGGAGCUCAGUGGUCCUGGGUCCUCGCGGGGUGGACCUCU
This 1970-nucleotide long non-coding RNA is filed under the name Sus scrofa (pig). Its description in RNAcentral is "lncRNA (ENSSSCG00045005764.1)". Lineage: Eukaryota; Metazoa; Chordata; Mammalia; Artiodactyla; Suidae. The record is from RNAcentral.